CCCAAAGGGGGACGACCUGUUAAGUCAGGAGCCAUCACAGGUGCUGCAUGGCUGUCGUCAGCUCGUGCCGUGAGGUGUUGGGUUAAGUCCCACAACGAGCGCAACCCUUAUUGCCAGUUGAUUUCUCUGGCGAGACUGCCCCCAGAAAGGGGAGGAAGGUGGGGAUGACGUCAAGUCAGCCAUCGCCUUAUGCCUUGGGUUACACACACGCUACAAUGGGUGGUAUAGUAGGCAGCGAUAGAGCGAUCUGGAGCUAAUCCUAAAAGCCAUCCUCAGUUCGGAUUGCUGGCUGAAACCCGCCAGCAUGAAGUCGGAGUUGCUAGUAACCGCGUAUCAGCAUGGCGCGGUGAAUACGUUCUCGAGUCUU
RNAcentral lists this ribosomal RNA (367 nucleotides) under uncultured Chloroflexota bacterium. Its description in RNAcentral is "bacterial SSU rRNA". It matches the Rfam family "Bacterial small subunit ribosomal RNA", at positions 1000 to 1382 of the family's 1533-position model. Lineage: Bacteria; Bacillati; Chloroflexota. The record is from RNAcentral.